This 5109-nucleotide long non-coding RNA is filed under the name Hordeum vulgare. RNAcentral's name for it is "long non-coding RNA (HVUL_LNC001315)". Lineage: Eukaryota; Viridiplantae; Streptophyta; Magnoliopsida; Poales; Poaceae. The record is from RNAcentral.
AGGGAUACGACGUGACGGCCAGGUUCCUGGACUACUGCGACUCGCGCAAGCCCGGGUUCGUGGCGGAGAUGAACGGCAAGCUCAAGGACGGCUACAACGACGACUACUUCGUGCAGAUCCUCGGGACGAGCGCGGACCAGCUGUGGAACGACUACAAGGCCAAGUACUCCCAGGGCUGAUCCGUUUCAUGUUGCAUCGCAUGCAUGUGUACCGGUCUACGUCUAUGUACUGAUAUACUAGUAGUAUACUUGUAUUACUACACGGUUGAUGUACUGCCUGGAAUGGAAUAAAUCAACGUUCGCAAGGUUGAGCAGAAAAUGGUGUCAGAGAGAAGAAUCCUUGACUGGGGGAGACUUGUGUGAAAUCUCACAUUAGGUGAUAAUCGAUUCUUUUAUAGAAAAAAUACAUGUCCGAACAUUCUCAAAUAAAAAAUUAUGGACACAUCAAUGAUUGAUGUACAACCUAAAAAAUUUCAGCUCCUAAUUCGACAAAUAUUAAUAAAAACAGAAAAGACAAUCACAUGUGAAUGGUGUCAAAGUACUAUUCACCCCAAAACAGUCACUAUUCGCAUUAGAAUUUGUCUUUUAUGAAUCUUCAAAUGUACAUCGUGUUUUGAACUGAUCUUUUUUCGGAGUUGUAGACAUGGCCCACAGGGAUGUUGUCAAAAUAAUUUUAGAUUUUUUCAACACGCAUGAACAUCAAUUUUUGAGGUUCAUCUCAUAAUCUCACAUAAUGUGAGAACUCAAUCAACUCAUACAAGUCUUCCCUUGUCUAGAUAUGUUGCAUCGAAAGUGGUUAUUGUAUCAUGCACGGGGUAUCCAUCGUCCGCCGCCGUUGUGAGAUUUGUGCCAUAUAUUUUCAUUGUUUGUUAGAAUAAAACUGAGGCUAUCCGUCGAUCAUCCGAGGACCAAGCAAUUAUAUGAGCACGACAUCGAGAUUUGUUAACGAGGUUCAUCAAUAUGGCUACAUCCCGGCGCAUGACUACGUGCGCUCCUUCCCGUGACACCGUCACAAUACCGCACCCUGGCCGUCCUGCGCGCCGGCACACGCCGCCGGUUCCCCUGCACGCAUGUGUUAUUAUGUUGGCAUAGGUUACAUCGUGUGCCUAUCCCGCUAUAUAUGAGAGGCCUAGGAUACAAGUGUCCUAUUAGGACACGACUCCAUAUCAUGUCUAAACACAAUACUACUACAAGUCCAACUCUAACCUACCUUGUACACAAUAUUUGACACGACUCUAACAGUUUGCAAAAUUUAUCAUCUUUCAAAGCAUUACUUCCUAUGUAUUAAAAUACAAGACAUUUUUUUUACAUUAUCACAUGGUAUUUCAUUAUUUUUCUUGUUUAACAAAAGAUAUCAUAAUGAUUCAAUGCGUAUCAGCAAUGCACUCGGAAACAAAUGCACUCUUAGUUGUUAGUACACAGCAAAACUUUAUGCUAGAAACAAGAAAAACGACCCAAUAAACUAGAUUUAACAUCACUAAACAAAUAUAUUUUUGUCAGAGACUAAAAACAUGGCGCAAAUCUCAAAAUUAUGGCAAACGGUGGAUACAUGCAUAGAAUAGUAGAACAUCAUUUCUCAUGUUGCAUUCACAACUUAUUUUUGAAAAAUCAUUUCAUUAGUGCGGCCUGCAUAGACGUUCCUUGUCUGUCAUAAGCUUCUUUCUCCACCCACAUCUAAAUCAACUUUCUAAUCGUGAAAAAAUCAGUAAAUAUUAAGAUGAAUGUCAUAUCAAGAUAUUAUGUGCCGUCAAAAACGAACUUCGGUAAAAGACAACUUUCACAAUUAUGUGAUAAAAAUUAUUCAUGAAAAAUAUUGAGGCUCUCAUUGGCUGUGUUGAGCCUACAUUUAUUACCUAAAAAUUCCAUGUAUGGAGAGAGGAUUUAUAGCACACACUGGCCGAGCAAGCCUAUUUUUGGUUGCAGGAUUGCGUCCAAAAAUUCAGAAACUAGCAAUUGUGUUUCCCACUAGCUACUGCCACAUAACCUUCACUGAGGAUCGCCGGAGAUAGAGGAGGUUCUGUUGGGAAAUCUUUGUUCGCUCAUGUCGGGGCGCAACGAAUGAUCUAAAAGAAGUAAUGUGGUCGUUAGUGUGCUUCAAGAUUCAUGAAGAAAAUUGAGUGGCUAAAUAGCGUUCGCUGGAACUGCCUAAAAAACUAACGAAGAUAUCACAAGGAAGCCCUUCUGGCCUCAUACCAAAAUUUAACACGACUAAGCCAUGACAAACACCAUCAUCAUUCCAAAAUUCGCUUCAACUUCGGUACAACCCUGCUAGACAAAUCAACAUAGGAGAUCUCUUCACACUCCUUCAUAAUAUAGGGUAAGAUGAUCUUUUCUAAAAAUAUGUCGCCCGCGCCGAGCGCGUCCUGAUGUAUCUACAACCGAUAGACAUGAUUUUUCUCUCUCUUUCUUCUUAAGCAUUAGAAAAUAUGCACCACGGAAGAUUCAAACUCCAACCCUCAAGGUUACUUCAAGUUAUAGUAGCCAGCUGAGAUAGAUUACUUGUUGUGCUCACUUGCUCUCUUUUUUCCUUCUUACAUCACAAAUAUAUAACUUCGUGAACUUUCAGGCCCGCUUUUUUCGUGUUUUUUGCACCAGUUUUUUUUUCUGUUUUAUUCUGGGUUUUUUCGUUCUUCACUUUAUUUCCUUUUUUGACGUUAACUUUUAAGAAAGAAAUAAAUUCAAACUUUCCCCAAAUAUUUGUGAAUCUUUUUCAAUUUCUUGCUCUUUUUUAGUGAACCCUUUUUUGAAAAUCUCUGAAAAAUUUCAAAUUUAUGAACAUUUCCUUCAAAAUCGUUGAAUGUCUUUCAAAUCAAUGAACGCUUGGGCUGGUCCAACAGGCGCCCAACGUGAGCGAUAUCUUCACCUAGUUGUGGUCGAGGACUAGUGUUUGUUUUACUUUUCUAUUUUGUGAUUUUCUUCCCUUUUUUCGUUACUCAAUUUUUCUCCUUUUUGAACUACGUUAUAAUUUAAAAAAUGUUCCCUUUUUUGAAUUAUUUCCUCACAAAGUUAAGAAAUGUUUGCAGUUUAGAAAAAAAGAGAAGUUUAAGAAGCAAAAUAUGGCGUAUGAAAUUUAUGUUAAUUUAUUUCAUCAAUUGUUGGAAUUUUGCUUAUAAUUUUGGAAAGAAAUUCUAGUUUCUAAAAUUUCCACACGCUACAUCAAAUUCCAAAAUUGUUGACAAAUUUGAAGAAAAGUUUAGUACUACAUAAGAAAAUGUUCACGUUGAUUGGUAAUGACGGAAAUUACAAAUAAAGGAAGCAUUCAAAUUAGGAAAUAAAUACAUGGUCAUCGAUGCACCAUAUGGCCCAGUCUGGCACACUUCUCUCAACCGGUGUUUUUUUACUAUGAAUAAAUGACCCCAACUUUUUGCAACAGUCUGGCACAAGGAUAUGAGACAUCCAUGGAAGGCUUGAAUGACUUUCAACACAAUUUGCGCGUUGCGACACGGCCGACCAUUUAUCGGUCCUUUCCCACCGCGAAAACUUCAGAAAAUGCAAAAUUUAUCAAAAAUUCAAACAACUUGGCUUGAAUUCUUGAAUUGGUCAAACAAUCUGGUGGAAAAAUAUUUCUCAUGUAUUAGAAAAAUCUGGUAUUUGGAAAAUGGUACUCAGCAUUUGAAAAUUUUAAAAUGUGCAUAAAAAAUUGUUAAUCCAAGCAUUUCAAAAUAGCACGACCCAUUUGAUAAAUAUUUAUAUUAUCUUUUUAUAUACGUUUAUCAGUGAACUGGUCGUAACAAACACGGGUCACCUAAAAAAUUUAGCUUCCUCGCAGCUUCUGUGCUUCGCACAGAAUCAUGCAUAAAGUUACGUAAUCUGAUCAGACAUGGAACCUGAUGGCACACGUAUAUGUGACAUGACACCGCAAAUUGGCACAGUCGUCCAAACUGAUUGCACAAUGAAGCUUCCUCGCAGCUUCGCGAAUUCAUUGACACCACAAAUUGGCGCAGUCGUCUAAAGAUAAGUCAAAUCAAGUCUGGCAUUGUUGGAAAGAACACGUCAAGCUGGACAAGCACGCACCGGUCGUACCAAUUCCAAACCACCUGAUUAAUACUGUACUCUAUAUUUUUAGAUCAACGACCCUCCGGUGCAGGCAGCCUAUAUAAAUUUGGCCCUCCACCGCCAGUCUGCCACUCACAGAAGCACUUAGCACGAUGAAGAUUGCCAUUGCAGCAGCAGCAGCCGCUCCCCUCCUCCUGCUCCUGGCCCUGGCCGGCACGGCCCGCGCCGUGACUUUCGACGCGACGAACACGGUUCCGGACUCGGCCGGCGGCCAGAGAUUCAACCAGGACGUUGGCGUCGACUACGCCAAGCAGGUGCUCUCCGAUGCCUCGUCCUUCAUCUGGACCACCUUCAACCAGCCCAACCCGGGAGACCGUAGGGACUACGACUCGGUCACCCUCGCUGUCGUCGACAACAUCGAGCCUGUGGCCCAGACCGUCGGCAACGCUAUCCAACUCCGAGCCCAAUACGUCGCCGGCUUCGACGGCGACGUCAAGCAAGAGGUAAUAACCCCGGCGGCACGGCGCGACGUCGCAUGCUUAUGUAUACGUAUAGCUUCUUAGGUUUCAACACAAGAUUGAUGUGCGCAGGUGAAAGGCGUACUGUACCACGAGGCGACGCACGUGUGGCAGUGGAUAGACCACUACGGCGAAAAACCGGGGCUCUUCGAGGGGAUCGCCGACUACGUGCGGCUCAAGGCCGACCUCGCGCCGGGGCACUGGGUGAAGGACGGGGGCGGCGACCGGUGGGAUCAGGGGUACGACGUGACGGCCAGGUUCCUGGACUACUGCGACUCGCUCAAGCCAGGGUUCGUGGCGGAGAUGAACGGCAAGCUCAAGGAUGGCUACAGCGACGACUACUUCGUGCAGAUCCUGGGGAAGAGCGUGGACGAGCUGUGGAGCGACUACAAGGCCAAGUACCCCCAGCCCCAGAGCUGAUGGUCGACGUACGAUGCAUGCAGUUUAUUGUUGUAUGUGUACCGGUAUACAUCGACGUUCGAACUGAUCCAGUAUACUUGUGUUAGAACACAGUUGCUGUAUUGACUGGAGCGGAAUAAAUUGACGUUGGCACGGUGUGUGUUAACGAACUGAGGAGACAAAUGGUGUCACGAGGG